RNAcentral lists this ribosomal RNA (879 nucleotides) under uncultured bacterium. RNAcentral describes it as "bacterial SSU rRNA". It matches the Rfam family "Bacterial small subunit ribosomal RNA", at positions 8 to 916 of the family's 1533-position model. The record is from RNAcentral.
AGAGUUUGAUCCUGGCUCAGGAUGAACGCUGGCGGCGUGCUUAACACAUGCAAGUCGAACGAUCGCAAGAUAGUGGCGCACGGGUGAGGAACACGUAGCUAACCUGCCUUUGGGUCUGGGAUAACGUCGCGAAAGUGACGCUAAGACCGGAUAAGCUCCCGGGUUGUAGAGACCAGAGAGAAAAGGGGCAAGACGCCCGAAGAGGGGGCUGCGGCGCAUCAGCUAGUUGGUGGGGUAAAGGCCUACCCAAGGCAACGACGCGUAAGGGGUCUGAGAGGAUGAUCCCUCACACUGGGACUGAGACACGGCCCAGACUCCUACGGGAGGCAGCAGUGAGGAAUAUUGCACAAUGGGGGCAACCCCUGAUGCAGCGACGCCGCGUGGGUGAUGACGGCCUUCGGGUUGUAAAGCCCUUUUGCCAUUGACGAGAACGGACGGUAGAUGGCGAAUAAGCCUCGGCUAACUACGUGCCAGCAGCCGCGGUAAAACGUAGGAGGCGAGCGUUAUCCGGAGUUACUGGGCGUAAAGCGUGCGCAGGCGGUGCCAUAAGUCAGGUGUGAAAGGUUCCGGCUCAACCGGGAAAACGCGCUUGAGACUGUGGGACUAGAGUGGGAUAGAGGGACGUGGAAUUCCGGGUGGAGCGGUGAAAUGUGUAGAGAUCCGGAGGAACACCAGAGGCGCAAGCGGCGUCCUGGGUCCCAACUGACGCUGAGGCACGAAAGCUUGGGGAGCGAACGGGAUUAGAGACCCCGGUAGUCCAAGCCGUAAACGAUGCAGACUCGGUGUCCACUCUCCAAGGGAGGGGGCGCCACAGCUAACGCGAUAAGUCUGCCGCCUGGGGAGUACGGUCGCAAGGCUAAAACUCAAAGGAAUUGACGG